This 459-nucleotide ribosomal RNA is filed under the name uncultured bacterium. Its description in RNAcentral is "partial 16S ribosomal RNA". It matches the Rfam family "Bacterial small subunit ribosomal RNA", at positions 338 to 795 of the family's 1533-position model. The record is from RNAcentral.
CCUACGGGGGACUGCAGUGAGGAAUAUUGGUCAAUGGGCGCGAGCCUGAACCAGCCAAGUCGCGUGAGGGAAGACGGUCCUAUGGAUUGUAAACCUCUUUUGUCGGGGAGCAAAGGACGCCACGCGUGGCGUUCCGAGAGUACCCGAAGAAAAAGCAUUGGCUAACUCCGUGCCAGCAGCCGCGGUAAUACGGAGGAUGCGAGCGUUAUCCGGAUUUAUUGGGUUUAAAGGGUGCGCAGGCGGAAGAUUAAGUCAGCGGUAAAAUCGAGAGGCUCAACCUCUUCGAGCCGUUGAAACUGGUAGUCUUGAGUGAGCGAGAAGUAUGCGGAAUGCGUGGUGUAGCGGUGAAAUGCAUAGAUAUCGCGCAGAACUCCGAUUGCGAAGGCAGCAUGCCGGCGCUACACUGACGCUCAUGCACGAAAGUGUGGGUAUCGAACAGGAUUAGAUACCCGUGUAGUC